Hyla sarda is the source of this 292-nucleotide long non-coding RNA. RefSeq lists it as uncharacterized. The transcript is spliced from 3 exons. Lineage: Eukaryota; Metazoa; Chordata; Amphibia; Anura; Hylidae. The record is from RefSeq and is a predicted model, not a curated record.
AAGCACUGGAACAAAAAUACCAGGUGGUCCAUGGUGAAGCCAUGGUGCCCUACUCUACAUGUGGUGUCCCAGUAACGGAGUGCGUGCUCUCAGAUAAACAUUGCUUCAGGUGCCUGACCUAGGCCCUGCUGCUCAGAAGCUAGUCCCAAUUGAAUCCUCAUCCGAGGAUGAGGGUGAGGACCCUAAAUUGUUGACCAGAUUGUCUCCAAGCCCCAAUUUUUUUUGUUUCUAGACACACAGUAUUCCUCACCCCCAAAAAAGCCAAGAACACAAGAAGGCACAAUUUAAAAAG